Long non-coding RNA from Sander lucioperca (pikeperch), 269 nucleotides. RefSeq lists it as uncharacterized. The transcript has 3 exons. NCBI's taxonomy places the organism in Eukaryota, Metazoa, Chordata, Actinopteri, Perciformes, Percidae. The record is from RefSeq and is a predicted model, not a curated record.
ACAAACUCCACAUAAAGAGGUUGGUUGGAGUGGUGGAUCGGUCAAACAAAACAGGACUUUCACCCAGGAGACCAGGGUUCGUGUUCCGUUCUUGUACCGCGUGUCACUGAAACGUACAUUUUAUAACCCCACCUACGAUCUUUUCCCAAACCUAACUGUCCCGUACUUGUGCCACACGUCAGUCAGUACAUCCCGACCCAGAACGUCAAAAGUGAUGUCAAGAGUCCCGACGCUAAAGGAGACUUUUAGCGUUAAUACCAAACGCCAAA